AUUGAACGCUGGCGGCAUGCCUUACACAUGCAAGUCGAACGGCAGCACGGGAGCAAUCCUGGUGGCGAGUGGCGAACGGGUGAGUAACAUAUCGGAACGUGUCCAGUAGUGGGGGAUAGCCCGGCGAAAGCCGGAUUAAUACCGCAUACGACCUACGGGUGAAAGCGGGGGAUCGCAAGACCUCGCGCCAUUGGAGCGGCCGAUAUCAGAUUAGCUUGUUGGUGGGGUAAAAGCCUACCAAGGCGACGAUCUGUAGCUGGUCUGAGAGGACGACCAGCCACACUGGGACUGAGACACGGCCCAGACUCCUACGGGAGGCAG
Molecule: ribosomal RNA, 321 nt
Filed under: uncultured Pseudomonadota bacterium
Lineage: Bacteria; Pseudomonadati; Pseudomonadota
Description: bacterial SSU rRNA
Rfam family: Bacterial small subunit ribosomal RNA
Source: RNAcentral